UGAGGAACAUGACCUUCGGCGGGGGAUAGCCGGCCCAACGGCCGGGUAAUACCGCGUACGACCACAUGGGGACAUCCCUGAGUGGUGAAAGCAGCAAUGCGCCGAUGGAGUGCCUCGCGGCCUAUCAGCUAGUUGGUGAGGUAACGGCUCACCAAGGCGGCGACGGGUAGCUGGUCUGAGAGGAUGGCCAGCCANAUUGGGACUGAGACACGGCCCAGACU
This 221-nucleotide ribosomal RNA is filed under the name uncultured bacterium. RNAcentral describes it as "partial 16S ribosomal RNA". It matches the Rfam family "Bacterial small subunit ribosomal RNA", at positions 118 to 337 of the family's 1533-position model. The record is from RNAcentral.